Long non-coding RNA from Juglans regia (Persian walnut), 278 nucleotides. RefSeq lists it as uncharacterized. NCBI's taxonomy places the organism in Eukaryota, Viridiplantae, Streptophyta, Magnoliopsida, Fagales, Juglandaceae. The transcript is spliced from 3 exons. The record is from RefSeq and is a predicted model, not a curated record.
GGCAAAACCUGAGGGACUGCCGGGUAUAGCCGAAGUGUCUCCGUGAUCACUGCAUGCAGGACAGCUAGAGAAAAGUGCUUUCGAAAUAAGAGAGUUUCUGCUUUAUUACCUUGUUAUUUCCGCCAGUCGCUCGAGCUUCUUCUAUCUCAGCUUUUCUUCUUCGAAUAACCGAAGGGUCAAUGAAACGAAGUGUCACAAUGAUGUUUGCAGUGUCAAAAGCCUGAGCAAAGCGAUUGUCUGGCAGACUAGGAGCUAGAGUUCCAAUUUCUACACCAAAU